This 484-nucleotide long non-coding RNA is filed under the name Apteryx rowi (Okarito brown kiwi). RNAcentral's name for it is "lncRNA (ENSARWG00000012771.1)". The record is from RNAcentral. Lineage: Eukaryota; Metazoa; Chordata; Aves; Apterygiformes; Apterygidae.
CUCCGGCAGCAGGGACAGCCCCCUCGCAGCAGCGAUUCCGGAACUGAGGACUUUCCACGUUGUUUUUUGCCUGUUUUCGCUUUGUUACUUUUCCGUUCCAGGGGAGAAGAAAAAAACCCCAAACCAGGCACCAGUGAGUAAAUCGCCCUCCGCAGGCCGUCUGCUAGCUGAGAUCCCUCUGUGGGAGCCGUGGGAACAGAUGCACGUUCUCCCCCAAGCCUGGAAGGGCGGGGGAGCACUCAACUUUCUGGAGCAGAGCAAGGCCUGCGCUGAUAUGCUAGGGAAACUGCAGCUGGGGCUGGCACGGAAGACUCCUGAACUGGCUGAAAGAAAUGUCCCGAGCCAGUGCAGGGGGCGCCCUGAUGCAGCAAGAAGAUACCACGUUGCUGGAAAGAAAGCGGAGACAAGGCAAGACCUGGGAGCAGCAGAGAUGAUUGCAAUUCUCAGAAGCGGUGGCACAGAGGUGAAUACAUUGCAAGGCUGA